Molecule: long non-coding RNA, 1211 nt
Organism: Lathyrus oleraceus (garden pea)
Lineage: Eukaryota; Viridiplantae; Streptophyta; Magnoliopsida; Fabales; Fabaceae
Exons: 4
Source: RefSeq, a predicted model, not a curated record
CAAAUCAAGGUGAAAAGCGCUUAUCCAAAAAAGCCGGAGCGAACAUCGCGAUUCUCGUCGCCAUUCCACGCACCUGUGUUCAUGGAUUCGCGUUUACAAUAACAACAUCACGCUUCAUAUCAGAGCAUCGCGCUCAUCACUAUAGCUCAUGGAUUCGUGUUCUUGGAUUUAUUUCGACAUCAUUCAUGGAAGUUCGUAAAACCGAGGCGAGACUCAGAUCGAAACGAGAAAUGACUCACCGAAUUUCCAAGAACAUGUACGAUUUCCUUGUCCUUCCUUCGCUUCGUAUUCUCCUCGCUGUCUCUGAAAACCUAGGGUUUUUCGUGGUCGCCUCCAAAAUUAGGUUUUUUCUCCUCCUCUACAGUAUUCGUUUCGCCCCUUUUUAUAUCAACAACUUAGGGUUUUAGGUUGGCUUAUGGAGAUCCAGAAGGGGUUUCUGCGAAAUCCCUUUAGGGUUGUCAGAUUUUGGUCGCCCUAUUUGAUUGUUAAAUUCGGAAGAGUGAAAACUAGAACCUUCAUGAGUGGUUUACAAAUUUCUUCUUCUACUUUGUGAUACAGACUAUAGCACAGCGUUUCUGAAUCAUCACAGCAAGAGAUAUGCAGCUUUAAAAGUAAUGUGCUUUGAAAAAAGGUGUUUUUGUUAUGGAAAUCCUAGGGUGGAGUUCUAGUGUGGAUGAAGCUCUUAGAUCCGCUUCUGGUUCGGUUGAGGAUGUGAAACUGUUUUGCUGUGAUCAAACUCAGGUUAACCAUUUGCCUUGGAAGUUAUGUUAGAGGCUGCUAUGGAGUUUUAGGUUUUGUAUGGAGGUUAACCAACCAAUUAGUAAGGGCGGAUUCAGGUUGUGGCUUUGAAUCAUGCUGUUGGAGGUUAGGUGGAUAUCAUUUGGGUUGAAAUUCGUUGGACAGUUGGAAGUUCGGUUGGAAUUUGUUAUGAUUCUAUUCUGAAUUCAGUUGAAAUUUGGAAAUUCGGUUAGAUGUUGGUUUUUACUAAAGUUCUAUUAGUGAAGUGAUUUAGAAAAUGUUGUUAGAUAGUGAAUUAUUCUUUUGUGCAGUUAGUGAAAAUGUUGUUAUGAAUAUUGUUAAUUCUGUUAGAUGUUGAAUGUUGUUAGUUCAAUUGAUUAUAAUGCUUUUAAUCGAAACUGAUGGAAAUAUGUUAUAUUAGCUAAUGUGAAGUGAAAAAUCAGAAUUGAAACGAACAUUGUAUUUCUUACCAA